CCUACGGGAGGCAGCAGUGGGGAAUAUUGCACAAUGGGGGAAACCCUGAUGCAGCGACGCCGCGUGAGUGAAGAAGUAUUUCGGUAUGUAAAGCUCUAUCAGCAGGGAAGAAAAUGACGGUACCUGAUUAAGAAGCCCCGGCUAACUACGUGCCAGCAGCCGCGGUAAAACGUAGGGGGCAAGCGUUAUCCGGAUUUACUGGGUGUAAAGGGAGCGUAGGCGGGAGCACAAGUCUGGUGUGAAAUGCGGGGGCUGAACCCCGGGUCUGCUUUGGAAACUGUGCAGCUAGAGUGCGGGAGAGGUAAGCGGAAUGCCUGGUGUAGCGGUGAAAUGCGUAGAUAUUAGGAAGAACACCAGUGGCGAAGGCGGCUUACUGGACUGUAACUGACGUUGAGGCUCGAAAGCGUGGGGAGCAAACAGGAUUAGAUACCCUUGUAGUC
This 440-nucleotide ribosomal RNA is filed under the name uncultured bacterium. RNAcentral's name for it is "partial 16S ribosomal RNA". It matches the Rfam family "Bacterial small subunit ribosomal RNA", at positions 338 to 795 of the family's 1533-position model. The record is from RNAcentral.